UACGUAGGUGGCAAGCGUUGUCCGGAUUUACUGGGCGUAAAGAGCGCGCAGGCGGUCGUUCAAGUCGCGUGUGAAAGCCCCCGGCUCAACUGGGGAGGGUCACGCGAUACUGAUCGACUCGAAGGCAGGAGAGGGUAGUGGAAUUCCCGGUGUAGUGGUGAAAUGCGUAGAUAUCAGGAGGAACACCUGUGGCGAAAGCGGCUCACUGGACCACAACUGACGCUGAUGCACGAAAGCUAGGGGAGCAAACAGG
This 253-nucleotide ribosomal RNA is filed under the name uncultured bacterium. RNAcentral's name for it is "partial 16S ribosomal RNA". It matches the Rfam family "Bacterial small subunit ribosomal RNA", at positions 524 to 776 of the family's 1533-position model. The record is from RNAcentral.